GGAGGAUGAGGCUUGAAAUUUAGCCCAAGUUCUGCUCAUAAACCUUGGCCCUGACCCUGGCUACAUUGCACAAAUUCUACAAGCCAAGAUGUGUCUAUGAAGCUGACGCUAACCAGAGGCGGAAGAGCAUUACAAAUUGAGUGAAGCUCCUAGUUGGGUUAACGGCAGCCCUGGCCCCAGGAUCUCAAAAGCAGCCUGAAAAGCAGAUGAUGACAAUGGAACAUGGAUAUGCAGCCCCUGGGGCGAACCUGAGUGUUUGAAAUGCAUGGCAACAAUGUUUAAUUCAUGGCAACAAUGAAUCAGUGCUCUAAGGAAGAAAGAAGUGAAUGGCAAGAUUGCACUUGCCCUCACAGGACUGCCAGCCAGAAACUACAUUUCCCAGCAUCCCUUGCAGCUUGGUAUGGCCAUGUGACCACAUUCUCAUUAAUACA
Molecule: long non-coding RNA, 431 nt
Filed under: Homo sapiens (human)
Lineage: Eukaryota; Metazoa; Chordata; Mammalia; Primates; Hominidae
Description: HSALNT0319169
Source: RNAcentral